Molecule: ribosomal RNA, 168 nt
Filed under: uncultured Clostridium sp.
Lineage: Bacteria; Bacillati; Bacillota; Clostridia; Eubacteriales; Clostridiaceae
Description: partial 16S ribosomal RNA
Rfam family: Bacterial small subunit ribosomal RNA
Source: RNAcentral
GGUCAAGGGGGGGGAAGUCUGAUGCAGCCACGCCGCGUGAGUGAUGAAGGCCUUCGGGUUGUAAAGCUCUUUCUUCGGGGACGAAGGAGGGGCGGCUAAUACCCGUGGGCCUUGACGUUACCCCGUCAAAAAGCCCCGGGUAAAAACGUGCCCCCGCCGCGAUAAAAA